CAUUGACAGGGCGCUAUUUUCAGGGAACAUCCAGUGCCCUGUCCCGGCCAAAAGAAUUGUGUGGGAGCCCCAAAUCGCCCUCCUGGACCCCCAAGUGCUGGUGACACAGCCCAGGCUGAGACAUUGCCUGAUGAUGCUCAGUUUUGGGGUGGAAGAGUUCUCUGCUCUGGAGAAGGAGGACAGAGGGGAAAAGCUCAUGGGACAUCAUUCAUGGAGUAAAUUGAGCAUCAGAGGGAGAAAAUAUUCCCUGUUCACCCAGCUUGUUCCCUGCGUGGUGAAGAUGAACCAUCAGCUGGGUUUGUGAUUAUCCUCUUGGAAAUAAAAAGGCAAA
This is a long non-coding RNA of Manacus vitellinus (golden-collared manakin), 331 nucleotides long. RefSeq lists it as uncharacterized. The transcript has 3 exons. The record is from RefSeq and is a predicted model, not a curated record. NCBI's taxonomy places the organism in Eukaryota, Metazoa, Chordata, Aves, Passeriformes, Pipridae.